AUUUGGCGGACGGGUGAGUAACGCGUGGGAAUCUACCUUUUGCUACGGAAUAACUCAGGGAAACUUGUGCUAAUACCGUAUGUGCCCUUCGGGGGAAAGAUUUAUCGGCAAAGGAUGAGCCCGCGUUGGAUUAGCUAGUUGGUGGGGUAAAGGCCUACCAAGGCGACGAUCCAUAGCUGGUCUGAGAGGAUGAUCAGCCACACUGGGACUGAGACACGGCCCAGACUCCUACGGGAGGCAGCAGUGGGGAAUAUUGGACAAUGGGCGAAAGCCUGAUCCAGCCAUGCCGCGUGAGUGAUGAAGGCCCUAGGGUUGUAAAGCUCUUUCACCGGUGAAGAUAAUGACGGUAACCGGAGAAGAAGCCCCGGCUAACUUCGUGCCAGCAGCCGCGGUAAUAAUC
Molecule: ribosomal RNA, 400 nt
Filed under: uncultured bacterium
Lineage: Bacteria
Description: bacterial SSU rRNA
Rfam family: Bacterial small subunit ribosomal RNA
Source: RNAcentral